UGUUGCACAGAUGUUACAUUU
RNAcentral lists this microRNA (21 nucleotides) under Monodelphis domestica (gray short-tailed opossum). RNAcentral's name for it is "mdo-miR-7388b-5p". The record is from miRBase by way of RNAcentral. Lineage: Eukaryota; Metazoa; Chordata; Mammalia; Didelphimorphia; Didelphidae.